CUUUUUAAAAAAUACAUAACAAGAAUCUCAUGGAGACAAUGGCACCUGCUUCAUAGGGUUGCUAUGGGUAUAUAGGGUAAUACCCUAUAUAUAGGGUAGAUGGAAUGAGAUCACAUGCAUAAAGCAUGUGGCACAGUAGGUCUUAUUUUAUUUUUUAGAGUAAGAUCUACUUUUAGUGUGGGACUUGAACUCCCAACCCUGAGAUCAGGAGUCACAGGCUCCCCCAACUGAGCCAACCAGGCACCCCUUGGUAGCACAUUAUUUAAAUAUGGUAUAGAGAAGAAAUGCCAGCUAUAAUCUCUAUAAUUCCUAGUUGUACUAAUUGUUUUACUACACAUUGAUUUUUUUUUGAAAGAUUGAUUUAUUUUAGAGGGGAGGGGCAGAGGAGUGGGAGAGAAUCUCCAAGGCAUCCUCGCUGAGCUCAGCGCCCUAUGUAGGGCUCCAUCCCGGUCCCCCGAGAUCAAGACUCGAGCUGAACCCAAGAGUUCGACGCUUCAGCAACGGAGCCGCCCAGGCGCCCCAUGCCGCUGAGUGAUGCUAAUGGUGUCUACUUCCCUAAGUUUUUCUGGAGAGUUCUGUGGUCCUAUCUUCGUGCCGCCCGUGGAGUGAUGAAGCUCCUCUUUAUCCCAGUUCNCCCAGAGUGGGCAGCGCUGAGUUGGAGGCAGCACCGGGCGGUGGGGAAACAAAGAAGGAGCGAGUCAGAUAUGCAAGAUUUAUUUUUAGAGGUUUUUUUUUCCCCGCCUUAAUCCCAACAUUCUUCAACUAAUUUGGAAAUCUUUCUUCUCUGCUGUAAGUUUUUCUGGAGAGUUCUGUGGUCCUAUCUUCGUGCCGCCCGUGGAGUGAUGAAGCUCCUCUUUAUCCCAGUUCACCGGAGGCAGCAGAACGAAGGGAAGGUUCUCUGGAACCCGGUGUGUACGCAACAAGGGAGCAGAGAGAGGCGAAAACCUGCCAUGACAAAAAUGUAAAGUUUUGUACUGGAAUGUGUCUCCUUUCCUUCGGAGAGGAGGUCGGAGUGUAACAGCCACGCCAGGAGCUGCUUCGGAAAAUGGGGCUGCAUACGUUAUGAGAGCAGCUGCACAGAUCUUUUUUUUUGAAAAACCCGGCUAAUAAAGCAAACAGCACAGCUGGUUGUUUUUAAAUU
RNAcentral lists this long non-coding RNA (1141 nucleotides) under Vulpes vulpes (red fox). RNAcentral describes it as "lncRNA (ENSVVUG00000014343.1)". Lineage: Eukaryota; Metazoa; Chordata; Mammalia; Carnivora; Canidae. The record is from RNAcentral.